UACGGGGGGGGCAAGCGUUGUUCGGAAUUACUGGGCGUAAAGGGCUCGUAGGCGGCCAACUAAGUCGGAUGUGAAAUCCCCAGGCUCAACUUGGGAACUGCAUCCGAUACUGGAUGGCUUGAAUUCGGGAGAGGGAUGCAGAAUUCCAGGUGUAGCGGUGAAAUGCGCAGAUAUCAGGAGGAACACCGGUGGCGAAGGCGCUGCUCUGGGCCGGUACUGACGCUGAGGAGCGAAAGCGUGGGUAGCAAACAGG
RNAcentral lists this ribosomal RNA (253 nucleotides) under uncultured bacterium. RNAcentral describes it as "partial 16S ribosomal RNA". It matches the Rfam family "Bacterial small subunit ribosomal RNA", at positions 524 to 776 of the family's 1533-position model. The record is from RNAcentral.